AGCGUCACUCGAACCAGCGACCU
RNAcentral lists this non-coding RNA (23 nucleotides) under Arabidopsis thaliana (thale cress). Lineage: Eukaryota; Viridiplantae; Streptophyta; Magnoliopsida; Brassicales; Brassicaceae. The record is from RNAcentral.